GUCACGGAGGAUGUGACGCCUGCGUCGGUGGCGUUCCGAAUGGAGGAAUUUUGUCAAGGGGAGUUCCUUUAACCGAGUAAACAAGUACUGUUUAUGCACACUGUGAAAUGGAACGCAGCCUAAAUUAAGGCCGUUCCCAUCAGCCUCAGCUGUAAUCAUAAUUAAUAAAUGUUAGGAUGCUAAUAUGCUGAACCAAGUUGAUGAACAGAGUGGACACAAAACCCAAACACAGUGUGUGAAUAGUGAAUGAAACAACACUGAAACAAGCCUGUGUGAAAAUAUCAGCUUCAUGUGAUCUUACAAAGAAGAUGUUUCAUCCUCAGCCUCUCAACUAAAUGCCAAACAGGAGCUCGCCAAAAACACCAGAGUAUAAUCUUUCUGAUGAGGUUAACCAUGUCUAGCAGCUUGUCAUGCCACUAAGCCCUUCCUAAUUCCUGUGAAGUGAUCUUGUAUAAAAGUAUUGUUUCCUUUAAUCAUACAGUCUAGGCAUGAAUACAGGCGUUUCUGGGAUGGUAGCACAGUCUGGCCUUCUUUAAGUGUAGUGGGCAUAAUCAAUGGACUCAAUGACCCAUGACAUCACACUCUGAUCUUGACUUACGGCACAAUAAGAUCCUGUCGUCCGUAUUGACCAAUGUGAAAAUAUUCUUUAUCCGACAGAAGCAGAAGGACUCUGUCCAUAUUUCUUCCCGUCCGUGUUGGAACAGUGCAGCACCGCAUGUCAGUGUCAAGUCUCCCCAGGCCUGUAAGUUGCACCUGAGCGCCCCUCCCAUCUGCCUGACCCUGUUUGUCUCCAGUUUGUCCCCUGGUCUGAGCAGCCCACCCUCUGCCUGCCUCAGCUCUGCAUGCGAACAAGUCCGGAUCUCGCCUGGGAGGAAGUGGAAUGUUUUUACUGGGAAGUUUGGGAUUAGACGACCAAUGCAGGAUUUUCAUUCCAUCUCUCGGUAGCUGCACUCCAAAGGAAGCCCCCCUCCGCCCACCUUUCUCUCUUUUUUUUUUCUUACAUAAGUGAGCCAUCGCCAAUGUGGAUUAAUAUGUUUUCUCCCAUGCAGUAAAAGCAAACUGGACUCUGUGUCCAAAAAAUGCAGUACAGAGCGUCCAUGACUGAACUGCAGCAGGGCCUGGGAAUAAAGACUCUCUUCUUUCGGCUGCCCAUUGAUUACCUGCCAUAAGACAAUUUUGCGGUGAAUUACAGCACUUGACUUUUUACUGCUUGGAAGCCUUUAUUAAUCCAUCAAUCCGACCUGAUCUAAAAUCCAACAUUUCUGCUACAGAUCUGGCUUAUCGCUCAACAUGGGGCAAAGCUUGAGUCGAAUAUGGACAGGUGAACAUCCCAGAGCUGAUAGCAUCUCCAGUUCCUGCUAUUAUCUUCGAACACCUACUGUGUAAUCUACACCUUAGCUCAUUCACGCCUCCUCCGUUAUCAUGCAGUGUGUCUCUGUAUGUAUAGCAUGCAAUACAUGAGUGUGUGACAGGGAGAAGAGAUGGACAUUUCUUUUCCAUGCAGGAGAACCCCCCGGGGGAACUUCCUGUAUUUUUGUAACCCGGAUGAGAAGCUGUUGAUAACAUGAGUGUGUGGGCGCCAGCGGGGAAGGUGACAUUAGCGACAACUCAGAGGAAGAGGAAGUCAAUCAGCAGAGCGAGAGCAAGGAGGACAAUAGCUGUGUGGCAUGAGAGGAAAGCCAAGUGGGGAAAGUGGGAGUAAACACACACACACGAGGUAUCUCUGUCUGCAGGUCAGAGGCAAUGACGUCCUCUGUCCACACGUGCAUGCAUGCAUGCUCAUUUGGGCAUGGCGUGUGUCUGCGCAUUUAGGUGCAUUUGCAUGUGUGUGUGUGUGUGGUUCGCACAAUUGUCUGUUUCGCACCUGGCCGGGCCAGUAGUGAGUCAGCAGUGGUGAGAGGUUGAGCUGUAUUCCCUGUCACACAGCUCAAAGUUGUGUUAACCUUUAAGACAAAAGGCUGUGACGUGUGUGGGCUUCUGCUAAUCCUGUAAGGAAAGCCAUCUGAAUGUCAUGUAUUCUUCUAGCUGACAUCAAAAUCUGAUUUAAAAUGUGUGGUUGAGGUCUCUGAGGAAACUAUUCAGCGCGUCUACCUCAAAUGUAGGGGCAUUUUGGUCCUCCUGAAAAGUGUUGUUCCAACAACUCUCAAGUUCAGGCUUUUCUUAGUUGAAUUAGAGGGACCCACAGCACUCCGGAAAUUAGAGAAUUAGUAUGCAAUUCCAGAAUGAUGAGCUGAUUUGAUCUGCUGCUGUUUGUCUUUCAGUAAUUUGAGCUGACCUGUGUUUAAAAGAGUAUUUGUUACAGGAUGUACAGCUUAAAAAAAAACUCUGAGUGAAAGUCACACUUGUCUGUACUUUUAACAUCUCCCCUAACUUCUUUUUAACUUCUCACAUAGUUUCACAGAGUUUAAGGCAAGAUAAGACUGUAAAAAAUCUGAAGUUCUGCACAGAUUUUGAUAAUGUGUUAAAAUAUCUAUUGCCCUUGAAUUCACUGUCUGGCCAACAGCUACUACAAAGCAAGAAGACAAUGAAAGCAUGAAGCAGAUCACUGGAGUUACACUUUGUGGUGGCCACAUUUCUUUGUUUCAUUAACCUUGUCAAAGCAUAUUUCACAGUAUAAAUGAAAGAGAACAACACAAGAGGUUUUUUUUUUUUUUUGAAGGUCUAUUGCAUAAGUGCAAAUCUUUCCUCCAAAACAUGAGCGAAAUUGGGGACAGGUCAGUAAGCUGUCACUACAUCUUAGAUCUUAAAGGUCCUGCAAAGUUUUUAAACUCUCAUAAAGACGAAAACUUUUUUAUUAAGUCAAUUAAUUUCACAUUUUCUAGCCAAGCUAGGCUAGCAGCAGAGCUCCAGGGCUGGAAACGUUGAUCAGUCAGUUGGUUUGUUUUGGUCCAAACUGAAAUAUAAAAGCUCUGUUGGAUGGAUUACCAUGAAAUGUUAUACAUAAAUUCGUGGUCCCUUGACAAAGUAUCCUAAUUACUUUGCUGAUCGUUUGGCUAUGAGGUUCACAUUGGUGGUUUGUGAGUGAAAUGUCUUGACAACUGUUGGAAUUUGGUUCAGGGUGAAUUGUAGUUAAUGUUUUGUUUAGUACUACCUGCAAAACCAAUGACAUUCCCAUCAGCCUGAGCUGUACUGUGCCAAACUAAGAUGUUAAAGAUGGUAAACGUUAUACCUGCUAAACAUGGUAACAUUUAGUUAAAAAAAAAAGAGCAGAGCCAGGUGACACUGUUGACUCCCAGCUGGUUUGAACCCUGGCUGGGGCCUUUCUUUGGAGUUUGCAUGUUGUCUCCGUGUUUUUGGGUUAAUUGGUGACUCUAAAUUGCCCAUAGGUGUGAACGUGAGGGUGGUUGUUUGUCUCUAUGUGAUCUGUGAUGAAUUGCCGACCGAUUUGUCCAGGGUGUACCCUGCUGCUUCCCCAAUGCCAGCUGGGAUUGGUUCCAGCCCCCCACAACUCUGAUAAGGAUAAGCAGUUACAGAAAAUGUAUGGAUGGAAGAGCAGAGCCACCAGCAUGGCUCAGAAAAUGCCUCAGGUGACUUAUCAAAACUGGUACAACAGAGCCAUUUGAACAAACACUUGACAAUUUCUCUACAUAUAUUCAGCCAAAUAACUCACAUGGCUGCAAAGGUGGAACACAACUAUCCAUUAGAUGCAGAGCCAUCUGGAUAUCUGUGCCGUACAGCACAGCAUGAUGCAGUAUCUUGAUCACAGGGGCCAAAAUGUCACAAGUUUUUCCCUGGAAGAACAAAGGCUGCAAUGUGACGUGUGCUUUCCUGUCAGGCUAGUGACGUCAUUCGGGCUGGAUCAUCAACACUGGCAACAACAGUAAUUCAACACCUGAAAAAGCAGCCUUUCAAGCUGGCUGUGACUGCUUCGUAUUUUCUUUUUUCAUGUGGGCAUGGCGUUUCAGUCGAGUCAGUGGGGAGGAAGUGAUAAAGUUGCUGUAAGAUGACUACAUCAAAAGCCCAUAACCUGCUCUACGAGACCGCACAAGUGAUGUACAAAGAGGAUCUGAAAGGUGGGACUGGCUGACCUCCUCCAGGGCUCUGGCCACAGCCUCAGUGUCACCACACCUGACACCAUUGAUCACAGUGGGAAUGUUCUGCAACACAGCGCAGGAACCGCUGCCAGCUCCACCAGCAGAGUAACCAUAAAGAAACCUCGCACGCUGUCUCCACCCGGGAGGCUGAGCAGCAGCUCCAGGUUCCUGCAUGAUGCAAUUAGCCAGAACUGCAUCUGCAUGGGUGAGGAUUGGAGGAAGUCCUAAGCGCUGUGACACCUCCCAGUACGGGACAGCCAGAUUAUGUGGUGUAGCCCAUGGUCAUGAUGCUGAGGGCCAGGUGGGCCAGCCGUAACUCCCGGUGCUUCUGCAGAAACUGGCUGCUCAGCAGCGGCAUCUGGAAAGAUGGAGUAUCAGCACUGAACCAUGGCUCCAUAAACUGUUG
Larimichthys crocea (large yellow croaker) is the source of this 4440-nucleotide long non-coding RNA. RefSeq lists it as uncharacterized. The transcript has 5 exons. Lineage: Eukaryota; Metazoa; Chordata; Actinopteri; Sciaenidae. The record is from RefSeq and is a predicted model, not a curated record.